RNAcentral lists this long non-coding RNA (230 nucleotides) under Marmota monax (woodchuck). The record is from RNAcentral. Lineage: Eukaryota; Metazoa; Chordata; Mammalia; Rodentia; Sciuridae.
UGAGAGCCUUAACCCAAUCACUGAAUUAACCCCCUGAUAGGAUUAACUGAGUGGUAACUGAAGGCAGGUAGGGUGUGGCUGGAGGAGGUGGGACACUGGGGAUGUGCCUUUGGGGUAUAUAUUUUGUAUCUGGCAAGUGGAGUCUUUCUCUGCUUCUGGAUCAUCAUGUGAGCUGCUUCACUCUGCCACACUCUUCAGCCACGAUGUUCCGUCUCACUUCAAGCCCCAAG